AACGAACGCUGGCGGCAUGCCUAACACAUGCAAGUCGAACGAGCCCUUCGGGUCUAGUGGCGCCCGGGUGCGUAACGCGUGGGAACCUGCCCUUAGGUUCGGAAUAACUCCCCGAAUGGGGUGCUAAUACCGGAUAAUGUCUUCGGACCAAAGAUUUAUCGACUUUGGAUGGGCCCGCGUUGGAUUAGCUUGUUGGUAGGGUAAAAGCCUACCAAGGCGACGAUCCAUAGCUGGUCUGAGAGGAUGCUCAGCCACACUGGGACUGAGACACGGCCCAGACUCCUACGGGAGGCAGCAGUGGGGAAUAUUGGACAAUGGGCGAAAGCCUGAUCCAGCAAUGCCGCGUGAGUGAUGAAGGCCUUAGGGUUGUAAAGCUCUUUUACCCGGGAUGAUAAUGACAGUACCGGGAGAAUAAGCUCCGGCUAACUCCGUG
Molecule: ribosomal RNA, 433 nt
Filed under: uncultured bacterium
Lineage: Bacteria
Description: partial 16S ribosomal RNA
Rfam family: Bacterial small subunit ribosomal RNA
Source: RNAcentral